UACGUAGGUGGCAAGCGUUGUCCAGAAUUACUGGGCGUAAAGGGCGUGUAGGUGGUCAAACAAGUCUGAUGUGAGACCCCGGAGCUUAACUUCGGGCAUGCAUAUGAAACUGUAUGACUUGAGGGCAAGAGAGGAAAGUGGAAUUCCUAGUGUAGCGGUGAAAUGCGUAGAUAUUAGGAGGAACACCAGUGGCGAAGGCGACUUUCUGGAUUGACCCUGACACUGAGGCGCGAAAGCGUGGGGAGCCAACAGGAUUAGAUACCCUGGUAGUCCACGCCGUAAACGAUGGGUACUAGGUGUUGGAGGUAUCGACCCCUUCAGUGCCGGAGUAAACGCAUUAAGUACCCCGCCUGGGGAAUACGGCCGCAAGGCUGAA
Molecule: ribosomal RNA, 376 nt
Filed under: uncultured bacterium
Lineage: Bacteria
Description: bacterial SSU rRNA
Rfam family: Bacterial small subunit ribosomal RNA
Source: RNAcentral